CAGCCGCCGCGGUAAUACAGAGGGUGCGAGCGUUAAUCGGAUUUACUGGGCGUAAAGCGUGCGUAGGCGGCUUCUUAAGUCGGAUGUGAAAUCCCUGAGCUUAACUUAGGAAUUGCAUUCGAUACUGGGAAGCUAGAGUAUGGGAGAGGAUGGUAGAAUUCCAGGUGUAGCGGUGAAAUGCGUAGAGAUCUGGAGGAAUACCGAUGGCGAAGGCAGCCAUCUGUCCUAAUACUGACGCUGAGGUACGAAAGCAUGGGGAGCAAACAGGAUUAGAUACCCCAGUAGUCCCUGUCUCUUAUAC
RNAcentral lists this ribosomal RNA (301 nucleotides) under uncultured bacterium. RNAcentral's name for it is "partial 16S ribosomal RNA". It matches the Rfam family "Bacterial small subunit ribosomal RNA", at positions 509 to 807 of the family's 1533-position model. The record is from RNAcentral.